GAGUAGCAUCGGAUACGUGUCUGCCGGUAGAUCCCCCGUUGUACUUCGGCCGACUACCGGCGCCGUGUCCCGUCACUCUUGUGGCAUUGUCCCGAUGGAUUGAACCCGUGGCUUGCGUGCUAGUACCCGACCUACGGGAAGUGGUGCUUCGUAUAAUUGUUGCCUCACGGUGGACGCCCUUUGGGUGUGCCAUUGUGACCGAAUAGCGCUUGCGGCGUUGCCUCGUACAACAACCAUAUAAUGUGCAUGUUGAUAUCACGGCAACCUCGCUCUCGCUUUUGGUCUAGGAUGCUGCUCACGAUAAAGGCUCGAGGCCCUUCGGGUUGCCUCGAUCCGAAACAAUGUUCUCUCUCCGAAAUGGCGAUAACCGGGUACAUGUCUUGCCUCUACCUCUCCACAGUUACGUGGUAGGAUACGCAACCCUAUGAUCCGGCCCUCAUGGAGGAGGAGGAGACAUGCUCUCUCCGAAAUGGCGAUAACCGGGUACAUGUCUUGCCUCUACCUCUCCACAGUUACGUGGUAGGAUAUGCAACCCUAUGAUCCGGCCCUCAUGGAGGAUGAGACAUGCUCUAUCCGAAAUGGCGAUAACCGGGUACAUGUCUUGCCUCUACCUCUCCACAGUUACGUGGUAGGAUAUGCAACCCUAUGAUCCGGCCCUCAUGAAGGAUGAGACAUGCCCGCUCAAAAGCGACAACUGGCUCGGCUGUUGCAUUUGUCUUUCCACGCAAGUGGAAUUGCAGGGUAACUACCGACGCUGGACGUCACCGAGGACGUGCU
RNAcentral lists this unclassified non-coding RNA (777 nucleotides) under Bromus brachyanthera. RNAcentral's name for it is "partial external transcribed spacer". Lineage: Eukaryota; Viridiplantae; Streptophyta; Magnoliopsida; Poales; Poaceae. The record is from RNAcentral.